UGGGGAAUUUUCCGCAAUGGGGGGAACCCUGACGGAGCAACGCCGCGUGCGGGAGGACGGCCUGUGGGUUGUAAACCGCUUUUCUCUAGGAAGAAGGUCUGACGGUACUAGAGGCAUCAGCAUCGGGUAUCUCCGUGGCAGCAGCCGCGGUAAGACGGAGGAUGCAAGCCUUAUCCGGAAUUAUUGGGCGUAAAGCGUCCGUAUGCGGUUCAUCAAGUCAGUUGUUAAAGACUGCAGCUCAACUGUGGGCGAGCAACUGAAACUGAUGAACUAGAGUGCGGUAGGGGUAGAGGGAAUUCCCAGUGUAGCGGUGAAAUGCGUAGAUAUUGGGAAGAACACCAGUGGCGAAUGCGCUCUACUGGGCCGCAACUGACGCUGAGGGACGAAAGCUAGGGGAGCGAAAGGGAUUAGAUACCCCUGUAGUCC
RNAcentral lists this ribosomal RNA (426 nucleotides) under uncultured prokaryote. RNAcentral describes it as "bacterial SSU rRNA". It matches the Rfam family "Bacterial small subunit ribosomal RNA", at positions 355 to 796 of the family's 1533-position model. The record is from RNAcentral.